UGGUGGAGUGAUUUGUCUGGUUGAUUCUGUUAACGAACGAGAUCUCCGCCACUACUUAGCUGCCGUUUUCGCAUCUGUAGGUGUCCGUGGAACCUCCGGGUUCCAUGGUGCCGAGAAGGCGGUAGGCAUUUAGUGGGACCAUGCAUGUCCCAAUGCAUUGAAGCGGGAGCCCAAAACA
This 178-nucleotide ribosomal RNA is filed under the name uncultured eukaryote. Its description in RNAcentral is "partial 18S ribosomal RNA". It matches the Rfam family "Eukaryotic small subunit ribosomal RNA", at positions 1299 to 1458 of the family's 1831-position model. The record is from RNAcentral.